This is a long non-coding RNA of Cyprinus carpio carpio, 741 nucleotides long. Lineage: Eukaryota; Metazoa; Chordata; Actinopteri; Cypriniformes; Cyprinidae. The record is from Ensembl.
GUGGAUAUGAAGAAGCUUUACAAUCGCUUUUAUUUCUGUCAAGACAGUAAUAAAAGAUCAAUUGAAAAUUGAAAAAUAUAAUAAAAGUCAUCAAAUGUUUUGGAAGCAGAUGUAUACGAACUAUUAAACUAAUGUUUCAAAAGUUCUUGCUUUGAUUUCAUAGAUUGGUUGUGUAAUUUGAUCAAGUUUCGAGCAUGUGCAAUCUGUAAAAAAUGGUACAUUUUGCAAUGGCCAGGUCGAGCAGAAAUAGAUCCAUAAAAUAAAAACUGCACAUUUUAAUUUUUAUUUAUUUAUUUUUUUACAGUGUCAGUCUCUGUUUGAUAAGACACCUGGAUAAUUCAUCUGAUUGUUCUGUCAGAAAGCACAGAGGUCUCUUGUGCUCAGCCUUCCCUGCCUACAGGAGGACCCCCAGCAUGCUUGACAGUCGGGAUAAUAUUUGUGUGGAAUAGGCUGUGUCUGCACUUCUCACCAGCUGUGUCAGUAAGCCACAUCCUACUUCCACAAGAGAUCACAUCAUUUCCUGUUUAUUCAGCCUCCAGGCAAAGAAGCUGAGCAAUCUGAUUGGCCGCUUAACCUGAUAACUGUCAGACAGGUUGACUGAUUGGCCAAUAUGAGACGGUGACUCUGCUCACAUUCACCGGACGGACGCCAUCGACUCUCUCCUGCUCUCUCUUCAUCCCUCUGAAUGGCCGCUGAGUGCUUCCUUUCAGCGUUUAUCAGCUUGAGACAUUUACAGUUUUU